Molecule: ribosomal RNA, 502 nt
Filed under: uncultured bacterium
Lineage: Bacteria
Description: bacterial SSU rRNA
Rfam family: Bacterial small subunit ribosomal RNA
Source: RNAcentral
GACGAACGCUGGCGGCGUGGAUUAGGCAUGCAAGUCGAACGGUAUCAUCCUUUCGGGGGUGAGAGAGUGGCGAACUGGUGAGUAACACGUAGGUUAUCUACCCUCAAGACGGGGACAACCCAGGGAAACUUGGGCUAAUACCGGAUGUGAGCAACUUUUAGUUGUUUGAAAGGUGGCGUAAGCUGUCGCUUGGGGAUGAGCCUGCGUCCUAUUAGUUAGUUGGUGAGGUAACGGCUCACCUAGGCAAUGAUAGGUAGGCGGCCUUAACGGGUGGUCGCCCACACUGGGAUUGAGAUACGGCCCAGACUCCUACGGGAGGCAGCAGUCGAGAAUAGUCUACAAUGGUCGGAAGACUGAUAGUGCGACGCCGCGUGAACGAUGAAUCCCUUCGGGGUGUAAAGUUCUUUUAUAUGUGAGCAGUGCUUCUUAUAUUAACAGUAUGGGGAGAGGAGAUAUUAGCAUAUGAAUAAGCAACGGCUAACUCCGUGCCAGCAGCCGCGGU